CGCACAUUGCGCCCUUUGGUAUUCCGAAGGGCAUGCCUGUUCGAGCGUCAUUAUCCCCCCUCAAACCUCGUGUUUGGUGUUGGACCCGUGUUGGUUGGCGACGACCAACUGGUCCCAAAGACAAUGACGGUUCCCACUGGGACCCUUGGUGCAACGAGCUUCUUUCGAGAGCACGCAUCGGGUGGGACCCAGCGGGCCGGUCUCCUUAAACUAUUUUCUAAGGUUGACCUCGGAUCAGGUAGGAAUACCCGCUGAACUUAA
RNAcentral lists this unclassified non-coding RNA (261 nucleotides) under Trichomeriaceae sp. RNAcentral's name for it is "partial contains 5.8S ribosomal RNA, internal transcribed spacer 2, and large subunit ribosomal RNA". The record is from RNAcentral. Lineage: Eukaryota; Fungi; Ascomycota; Eurotiomycetes; Chaetothyriales; Trichomeriaceae.